RNAcentral lists this long non-coding RNA (848 nucleotides) under Vombatus ursinus (common wombat). RNAcentral's name for it is "lncRNA (ENSVURG00010015804.1)". The record is from RNAcentral. Lineage: Eukaryota; Metazoa; Chordata; Mammalia; Diprotodontia; Vombatidae.
AUCACUUUCACCAUGAUUCAGUUAACUGCCUGGGCUCAUCCUGGCUCCUAGAGCCAGCCAACAUGGGCCCCACAGGCUGACAAGAAGUCUGUUACUUACAGCACCCAUUUUUUCCCAUGUUCUGUGUCCCCACAGCCCUAUGUUACUGACAGGGAGCCUAGGGAACACGUGGUGGUCAUGGGAUGCCUCCUGGGAAUGAGAAUGUGAACAAAAAGGUAGGGAGCCAGCCCAAGGUAUAAGAAGACCCAAUGUAACAAGGAUUCUUCCAGAAAUGGCUUCCUAGCAUCCUUCACAAGGAGAGAGACACCAUCUGCCCUGUAGCAUCCUCCACAUGGAGGUGCUUUGUGAGUCAUUUGAAACAACAAAAAGCCCAUAAUUGUCUGUAUCCAGUGCCAGAGGUCAAGCCAAUUCAACUAGCAUUUAUUAAGCACCUACUAUGUGCCAGCCACUGUGCUAAGUGCCUGGGAUGCAAGAAAGACAAAAACAAUCCCUGCUCUCAAGGAACUGAAAAUCUCAUGGGGAAGACGGCUUGCCAGACCAUGUUUCUGAACUUUAAAGAAUAAAUUAAAAGUAGAUGCCAAAUGGGGUAGUGUCACCAGGACUCCAAGAAGGCCUGCCUUGGCUAGCAGCCAGGAAGAAACAGAGACUCAUCAUCUACUCUGCUACUUCAAGUACUUGCUGCCUACCCCUCUUACUCAAGGAAUGAUGUUUGAGUAAUAUUAUCAUUGCGAUUGUGAAGGGCAUGACCAUACCCAUGAUUCUGAGAUGAGGAACUGAGGCAUACAAGGUAAAGUAACUUGCCCACGGUCACUCAGCUAGUAAAUGUCUGAGGCCAGAUUUGAACUCAC